GGAGGAAUGGACUUGCCUUGUCUCAGGCACUCCCUCCAAGACAGACUUCUCUGUGGAAGCAGCAUAUUGGAGGCCUGCUAGGACAGUUCACAGGAAUGGCUGUGGAGGGCUGCAGGCAUGUCUCUAAUCAGAACCUGCUUGUCUUUUUGAUUGACAGCUGCACUUUCUCCACCAAGAAGUGGGUACUGUGCAAGUUAUGGUCAUAGUGAAGGUGGGGGACAUGGAGAUGAUCCCGAAUGAGCUGCAUAGGCCUCAUCGAAUCAGUGGAAAGCCUUGAGAACAGAGCCGAAGUUUCUCUGAGGAAGGGGAAAUUCUACCUGUAGACAGCAGCUUCAGUUCCUGCUGCAGUUUCCAGCCUGCCCUUCCUGACGGCCUUCCCUGUGGAUUCCAGAUUUGCCAGCCAGUCCUCAUAGCCAGAUAAGCCAAUUGCUUGUAAUAAAUCUCCUAGUGUUAAUGAUCCUUUAAUAAUAUACAUAUAAAUAAUAUAUCCUAGUAUUAAUAAAUCAAUCUCCCUCUCUCCAUCUCUCUCUCUCUCUCUCUCUCUCUCACACACACACACACACACACACACACACGUCUUACUAGUUCUACUUCUCUGGUGUAACCUUGACUGAUAUAGAUGAGUAACCA
Pan troglodytes (chimpanzee) is the source of this 630-nucleotide long non-coding RNA. RefSeq lists it as uncharacterized. The record is from RefSeq and is a predicted model, not a curated record. NCBI's taxonomy places the organism in Eukaryota, Metazoa, Chordata, Mammalia, Primates, Hominidae. The transcript has 3 exons.